This 308-nucleotide ribosomal RNA is filed under the name uncultured eukaryote. RNAcentral's name for it is "partial 18S ribosomal RNA". It matches the Rfam family "Eukaryotic small subunit ribosomal RNA", at positions 592 to 976 of the family's 1831-position model. The record is from RNAcentral.
CAAUAGCGUAUAUUAAAGUUGUUGCAGUUAAAAAGCUCGUAGUUGGACUUCAAGAAGUUCAGAAAGGAAACUUUACUGACUUCUACCAGUCUUUGACUGUUACUGUGAGAAAAUUAGAGUGUUUCAAGCGGGCAAUUGCAGGAAUACAUUAGCAUGGAAUAACGAAUGUAUCUACAGUUCUGGUUGAUUGUAGAAUACGAUUAAUAGGGACAGUUGGGGGCAUUAGUAUUUAAUUGUCAGAGGUGAAAUUCUUGGAUUUAUUAAAGACUAACGUAUGCGAAAGCAUUUGCCAAGGAUGUUUNCAUUAA